GAUGUCAAGAUGGCUGCUAUACACACCCAAGGACA
Molecule: transfer RNA, 35 nt
Filed under: Gymnoris dentata (bush Petronia)
Lineage: Eukaryota; Metazoa; Chordata; Aves; Passeriformes; Passeridae
Description: partial tRNA-Phe
Source: RNAcentral